Molecule: unclassified non-coding RNA, 4072 nt
Filed under: Leishmania donovani
Lineage: Eukaryota; Euglenozoa; Kinetoplastea; Trypanosomatida; Trypanosomatidae
Description: gene:LdHU3.25.3000(CDS-product:CHAP_domain/Glutat hionylspermidine_synthase_preATP-grasp_putative)
Source: RNAcentral
AGACGGCAGCUGUGUUCCUGCUGCUGCCCAUAGUUUUCGCUAUCCCUCUCUCUGGCUUUCCCCAUGCUGUGCACAGAAGCUCGAGGCGCACUCUGCUUGCGUUCGUCGCAUUUUCUGUCGCGUUGUUUCUCGCUGCACACCCCACUUUCUCCACCGUGCCCUCCCACGAGGUGUGCUGGUGCGCCCUCGUUUUCAUUCGUCUUCUCUUUCCUGUGAUGUUUCCUUCGCUUGUACCGCGCGCUGACACACACGCCCACGCACACGCUCCUCACGCAUGAAUGGACGCACGCAGGCGUCACCGACGGUGUGCUACAGUGGUCUCUUUGUGAGCGCUGCUGCCUCAUUUGGUCGCUCCCCGUCUUCUCGUCUGAAUCGCCUGCCUUCUCAGCGGCACUACGAAAAUUCUGCGCUUCUCAAUUCGACCUGCGACCUCCCUCGGUGCCUCCACCAGCCCUGCUGCUUAAGAGUUCUUCUGCCGUAAUGGCAACCUGCUCCACUCCGAGAUCCGCCGUCGGCUACGAAAAACGCUCAUGCUGUCUCUGCCACGCGACCACCACUACCACACGCACCACCGCGGCACUGAGUUGGUGCCCUUUGACCAGGUUAUCGGCAUCACCCCAGAUGGCGUGCCCGUCAUAUCCAACGGGAACGAGUUCCAUUUCACCAACCUCGAGUCCGUGACACCGUUCUAUCAGGCGCUCUGCUCCUUCGACCGCAAGGCGCCGGUGACUGUGCCGUACAAGAAGCUUGGUGUCAAAUGGCAGUGCGUUGAGUUUGCACGCCGCUACCUCGCGUCCCGCAAGGCUGUGUGGACGGCGUCCAUGCCGAUCGCCGCGGAUAUGUGGAGAGCGGAGACGCCGUUCGUGCGCGUGCAGGAUGGCACACCGGUGGAGUUCACGCGGAUCGCCAACAGAUCACACGGCCCGGCGCCGGCGAUGUCGGACAUCAUUGUGUGGGGUCAGAGCGAGGAGACGCCGUUUGGCCACGUCGCGGUUGUGACGGAGGUGCUGCCGGAGGCGGUGCGAGUGGCGGAGCAGAACCAGGGCUUUGAGCGGUGGCCGCAGGGCAUGCUGUACAGCCGGGAGAUUCCAGUGCAGCGCAGCAGCGCAGGCACAGUAGAGCUCGUAGACGAGGACCCGGUGCUGGGGUGGGUGACGCUGCACUGCCCCUACUACGACUUUCGCGAUGGCGACCUGGCCGACAAGUUCCGCAUUGUCACCGGACCGGGCUGCAUCGUGCGCCAGCCCUUCCCCAAACACGUGGAGUUACCGUGGCUUCAACCAGAGGAGCGGUGCGACUUUUAUCUGAAGCGUUCCCUUGCGAUUGGCGGCAACGUCGGCGACGACGCGAGGGCGAAGGAGUGUGACGUGCCCAGCGCUUUUUACUUUCUCGACUACAACAUCUGGUGCCGGCUCGGGCGAGCGGCUCACUCGCUGCACCGCAUUGCCAUGACUGCCACAGCCCAGGUCCUCGAUGACGCAGACUCGGCGUAUCUCUUGGAGCACUACUUUGGGCUACCCCCAGAGAUUCAUCCGCUGCUGCGUCGCUCGUGGGAGAUGAUGCCGCCAAUGAGUGGCCGCUUUGACUUCGGCUAUGACGGCAACAAGGUGGCAAUGCUGGAGUACAACUGCGACUCCUCUGGCGCGCUGCUAGAGUGCUGCAACACCCAAGAGAAGAUGGCCAACUACUACGGCGUGUCGCAGGGGAUGUCGACCGGCUCCUUCUUGGGGGCCAAGUGCGUGUCACACUUUGCGCGCUUGAUGUCGAACGAGAAGGUGUGCCCCAAGCACAAGCUGAUUCACUUCAUGAUCGACGACGACGACGAGGAGCGCUACACCGCCAUGUGCAUGAUGAACUUUGCAGAGAAAGCCGGCUUCCGCACGAAGCUUUGCGUGAAGCUGAUCGACUUCCGUUACCGCGACGGCGCUCCUGCCAACGCCGCUCCGCUCUCCGUGACAUGCGACCACCCCAUCAUAGUUGACAGUGACGGCGACGAGGUUCUUCUGGUGUGGAAGACGUGGUCGUGGGACACGGUGUUGAGAGAAUACCACCGCCAGUGCAGUGCAACAGACUCGGUCAGCAGUCCGACGCUCUCUGACAUUCUCCUCAACAACAACAUUUGCGUCAUCGAGCCGCUCUGGAAAGCUGUAACGGGGAGCAAGGCGCUUCUUCCCUUUAUGCACGCUCUGGCUCCUGACCACGAGCACCUCCUCGCGGCGGACUUUGUACCCACAAAAGACAUCAUCUCCCACCACUACGUCUCCAAGCCCAUCAACGGUCGAGCUGGGCAGAACAUCAUGAUGUUUGACCCCGUGACUGACGCGGCGGAGCUGAACGCGGCUCCUCAAGAGAUGCUCAGUGAGAGCUCGUCGCAGCUCUUCUCCACCAAGCCGCCUGCCGCCUCCUGCUCUGCGCUACAGAGCCAGUCGAUAGACCGCACCAAUGAGUGCUCGACUGGCACGUUUUUCGACUCCGCCGUCGUCUAUCAGAAGCGUUUUUUCUUGAAGAAAUUUGAAGGCAAGUACUUCCCCAUUUUCUGUGGAUGGAUGAUCGACGACGAAUUUGGUGGUGUCGUAGUCCGCGAAGACACAUCAAAGAUCACGAAGCUGGAUAGCAUCGUCAUCCCCGCGCGCGUUGUGCGCGAGAACGUCUCGCUCGGUGGGGCGUACACUGACGAGGGUGAGACGUAGCUCUCACCCUCGCUGUGCCUUUGAUCACCGCUGAACGGCUGAGCGCCGCGCCCACUGUGGCGCACCAACACACGCGCAUACAUGAGCGCGCAUGUCUUUCGCCGUUCAUCUCUUGUGGCUCUUCCUCAUCAGCUGCAGCGGAUGAAAAGAGACGAAGAGGUGGCUGACACACAUACGCAAGCUGGUAUGCUUUGAAAAAUGCCUUUUAUGUGACUACCGUGCGCAGUCCGAUCCGUUCCCCAUCUCCUUUCCGGAGUUUGAACGCCGUGUUGUCACAGGGAGCAUCCAUCCUCACACCGACAUGCGUGCACGCAAAUGUGCUGCACUGCACUCUUCCCGAAGCCUACACCUCGCGUCUGUACAGUGGCAGGCGCAGCGGCAGUGGGAUGACGCGCCGCAUUUCUCUUCGAUGGCGCACGUGUAGUUGAGGUGCUUGCGUUACCUUGUGUGCGCGUUUGUUUGUUCGGAUGGAGUCAGGGCGUGAAGGGGGAGGGGCAGAGAGACUGCGAGGGCGAGCGAGUGACACGUCCGUACACAAGAGGGCAGCGAACGACGGACUGCUCUUGUGCGCACGCCUUUCAAGAUCCCAUUUGCCUUUUCUUUUUUUUCCCUCCCCCCUUUCCCCCUCACUAACGGCGGAGGGGGGAGGGACCCACGCCUCCGUGCGCCAUGUCGCAGGGCUCUGUGCACCCACUCCCUCUCCCCACUCGGUGCGUGGCGAAGCCGGGCAGCCCCUCCCCUCCCCUAUCCCGGCCAAUGCACAGCCCCUUCUCGUGGUGAGAGGGCCAAGCGCCUGCGACGUUGGGGAGUCGGAGAGACUCAGCGCCACUCACGUCGGCGGUCCGACGGUGGACGGCGUUGCACCGGAGCGACCUGCAGCACUGCACACGCGUGUGCCAUCCAUAUGAAGGGCAGAGUGUGCCGACGUGGCUGGGACGUAUCCCACCCGGCCCUCGCUGCUUAGUGGUGCGGGGCGGCUCAGGCGCCCCACGAGGGAUAUGCACCACGUGGCAACCAGCAUGGCUGGGGCGGCUGCGAGGCGACCUGGGAUGCGGGCGGGUGCGUUGCCUUUGAGGCGGGGGCCGUGCUGAGAUGACCGGGCCGGCGCGUUGCUGUGGCGCGCGUGUCUACGGCUGCUCCGCACCGCGCGAUGCGAGGGGGAGGGGCCCUGUGGCAGACCCGGGGGGUGCAGUGUUGACCUCGCGUUGCACAGCAGCGAAACGGACACGCUGGCGAAUCUCUCAGUCCCUGCGUCAUCGCACUGACCUUCGCGUGCGGUAUACACUGGAGCGGCGAUGAGGGCUUCUUUAUCGUAACCGAACGCACGCCGCCCCUCUCUUACCUUCCUCUCCGUCGCUUCUCCUCUUUCUCUUUUUACUUAG